RNA transcript from Glycine soja, 1265 nucleotides. It is a transcript of the gene named carbon catabolite repressor protein 4 homolog 3-like, with no coding region annotated. Lineage: Eukaryota; Viridiplantae; Streptophyta; Magnoliopsida; Fabales; Fabaceae. The record is from RefSeq and is a predicted model, not a curated record. The transcript is spliced from 12 exons.
AUGACGUUGUACCGUAGUUUGGUUGAGGCAAAUUAUUAUUAUGUUCCAGAAAGAUUCAGCGUGGCGUCGUACAACAUACUGGGGGGAAGAAACGCUUCUCAACACUCGGAUUUAUACGUAAACGUUCCUUCUCGUUACAUCAACUGGGCUCAUCGCAAAAGGAUUAUUUCUGAUGAACUCUUUGGAUGGGACCCUGAUAUUAUCUGCUUGCAAGAGGUGGACAAAUAUUUUGAACUCUCAGACAUUAUGGUUAAAGCGGGAUAUGCAGGAUCUUAUAAGAGACGCACUGGAGAUAAAGCAGAUGGUUGUGCAAUGUUUUGGAAAGCUCAUAAGUUCCAGUUACUGGAAGGAGAGAGCAUUCAAUAUAAGGACAUUGGCUCAACUUUCAGUUUUUGAGAUGUGUAAAUCUGACUCAAGAAGACUGUUAGUUGGUAACAUCCACGUACUUUACAACCCAAACAGGGGAGAAGUUAAAUUAGGUCAAAUUCGUUUUCUCUUGUCAAGAGCACAGUACCUCUCAGAGAAAUGGGGUAAUACCCCUGUUGUGCUAGCUGGUGAUUUUAAUAGUACUCCUCAGAGUGGAAUAUAUAAGUUCUUGUCAUCAUCUGAGCUUAAUGUCUUGCUGUAUUACAGAAAGGAAUUAUCUGGACAGAAACGCUGUCGUCCUGCUCAAGUUUUAGGCGAGAAUAAACAAACAGUUGGUCCAAUUGUCACACUAUAUGGGGCUCAAAUUGUACACAGGGAUUCAAUGGUGAACUCUUGGCAACUUCCUAUCACUCAAAGUUUCUUGGCACUGUAGAUUACUUAUGGUACUCAGAUGGUAUUGUACCUUCAAGAGUUCUUGAUACUGUUUCAAUAAGUGAUCUCCUAAGGACAGGUGGCCUCCCAUGCAAGAAAGUGGGAAGCGACCAUUUGGCCUUGGUUUCUGAAUUUUCUUUCUCAGUUACCAACAAUGAACCUAAAGACAAAGUGGCAGCAGCAGCAGCAGCAUCACCUAUAGUAGAUAUUGAAGAGCCUAACAAUCAGCAGUCAUAAGAAAACAGCUCAGCAUUUGUGUUUGGAAACAGAUUUUUGCUAUCCUUGUUUACUUGUACUAUAGUUUGAAUUAUAUUUACUUAGCAUUCACAAAUUUUUCGAAAAAGGCUGUAAUUUAGAUAAAGGUUGAAGAUCAAGUUGUUAGAAUUUCUCAAUGUACCAUACUAAGUUAUAAAUUCGAAGUGCAAGGAAAAAUCUUAUUAGAAAUUGAAUUACUGCAUUAUUGGUUA